Molecule: ribosomal RNA, 466 nt
Filed under: uncultured bacterium
Lineage: Bacteria
Description: bacterial SSU rRNA
Rfam family: Bacterial small subunit ribosomal RNA
Source: RNAcentral
CCCCAGACUCCUACGGGAGGCAGCAGUGAGGAAUAUUGGUCAAUGGGCGGGAGCCUGAACCAGCCAAGUCGCGUGAGGGAAGACGGUCCUAUGGAUUGUAAACCUCUUUAGGCGGGGAGCAAUGCCGGGCACGCGUGCCCGGAGGGAGAGUACCCGCAGAAUAAGCAUCGGCUAACUCCGUGCCAGCAGCCGCGGUAAUACGGAGGAUGCGAGCGUUAUCCGGAUUUAUUGGGUUUAAAGGGUGCGUAGGCGGUCCGUUAAGUCAGCGGUAAAAUGGCGGGGCUCAACCCCGUCGAGCCGUUGAAACUGGCAGACUUGAGUUGGCGAGAAGUACGCGGAAUGCGCGGUGUAGCGGUGAAAUGCAUAGAUAUCGCGCAGAACUCCGAUUGCGAAGGCAGCAUGCCGGCUCCACACUGACGCUGAGGCACGAAAGCGUGGGUAUCGAACAGGAUUAGAUACCCCAGUA